This 60-nucleotide transfer RNA is filed under the name Cyamophila willieti. Its description in RNAcentral is "tRNA-His". Lineage: Eukaryota; Metazoa; Arthropoda; Insecta; Hemiptera; Psyllidae. The record is from RNAcentral.
ACUAGGGUAGUUUAAUUAAAAAUAUUGAUUUGUGGAGUCAAAGAUUUAUUUAUUCUAGUU